CAGCCGCCGCGGGAAUACGGAGGGUGCAAGCGUUAAUCGGAAUUACUGGGCGUAAAGCGCACGCAGGCGGUCUGACAAGUCAGAUGUGAAAUCCCCGGGCUUAACCUGGGAACUGCAUUUGAAACUGUCAGGCUGGAGUCUUGUAGAGGGGGGUGAAUUCCAGGUGUAGCGGUGAAAUGCGUAGAGAUCUGGAGGAAUACCGGUGGCGAAGGCGGCCCCCUGGACAAAGACUGACGCUCAGGUGCGAAAGCGUGGGGAGCAAACAGGAUUAGAGACCCCAGUAGUCCCUGUCUCUUAUACA
Molecule: ribosomal RNA, 301 nt
Filed under: uncultured bacterium
Lineage: Bacteria
Description: partial 16S ribosomal RNA
Rfam family: Bacterial small subunit ribosomal RNA
Source: RNAcentral